UCACUCCUCACAACCCCAGGGCAGCUCUUUCUGCCCACGGGUCCUGUUCCCCAUGCUUUAAUAAAACCACCUUUUUGCACCAAAGACGUCUCAAGAAUUCUUUCUUAGCCAUUGGCUCAAGAACCCCAUCAUUUCUGCAAUCCUUACACAGGGCUUGGAGUCUUUUCAUCUGGGCUCUGAGCUGGUGCAAACCCGGUCACCAUUGGAAACGCUGGUUAUUUUACCAAGGCUUUGACUGGAAUGUCAUAUUUGCGAGACAUGCAUAGACUCAGAUAUGACCCUACGGCUCUAAGGAGCUAAGGUUGACUUUAUAAAACCUGGAGCCAUAAAGCCCCUUGGAAAUGUUGGCCUGAUACCUUGUUUACAGCGUUCCCAGCAGCCUUACCAGACAACUCGAGGCAAACUUCAGAGAAAUUAUCACAAAACUCAUAUAUAGACCAUCUUUGUGCCUGGUGCUCGAUGGGCCAUUCCAAGGGAUCGCCACAGACAUUUGAGUUACAAGCCAGAAAAACCCAUCUGAUUCCCGCUGCCUGGUCCCACUCCCUCUGAGAUGCCGCAAGCCUGACAUCUAAAAGUCUUCUCACUGGCAGCCGCUGGGUUUGUAACUUGCUCCAACCAUUCACCUAUAUUUUUCUUGUCUCUAUGAAAGUCCUUCUUAUUAAUUACCUGAUUGUUUCCUAAACAAAACGAAGCCUAGAUGAUGGUUAACACCACCUGUUGCCCAAUCAAGGCCUUAAAUGACUCUCAAAAUCACAUUAUAUUACCAAACACUAAAAUAACUCAAAUGCAUAGAACCGUUCUACAAAAUAGAAUGGCAUUAGAUGUUUUAGCUGCUGCACAAGGUGGAACUUGAGCUCUGAUAAAAACAGAACGCUGCGUAUACAUUCCAGAUCAUCAUCGAAAUAUUUCUGGAUU
Acinonyx jubatus (cheetah) is the source of this 915-nucleotide long non-coding RNA. RefSeq lists it as uncharacterized. The record is from RefSeq and is a predicted model, not a curated record. Lineage: Eukaryota; Metazoa; Chordata; Mammalia; Carnivora; Felidae. The transcript has 3 exons.